This is a long non-coding RNA of Rhipicephalus sanguineus (brown dog tick), 6444 nucleotides long. RefSeq lists it as uncharacterized. The transcript is spliced from 4 exons. The record is from RefSeq and is a predicted model, not a curated record. Lineage: Eukaryota; Metazoa; Arthropoda; Arachnida; Ixodida; Ixodidae.
ACCAUCAUGGCUACUGUCGCCGGCGCAAAACGCUCAUGUGAUGGCCUGCAUCGCAAUGUUUUUCUGCUUGACGGCUCUUGUUGUUUUGUGCCGUUGCGAGUGGCGUUCGUUCAACCGCGGCCUGUGCAUAUUGUGCGUGCGUGCUCUUCCCAGCCAAGUCGUGAAACGUGUGUGCUUUCGUGUUCUCUGUAGCCAAUGGUGUGCUGCUGGCGCAGGCAGCUACCGAGUGCCUUGAAAUGUGCGAGCGCGCUUCGGUUCGAGCGAAACAAAGUCAGCGAUUGAUUUCAGCGCAGCAGUGAGUCAGCAGUGAUUUCAGCGCUGUGGCAACGGGAGUUCUGUGCAUGCGUACUUGUGCUCCUUGUAUACGAGAUCUCAUUUCGUCUGAAUACUUCCCAUCAUAAAGCGUUCCCGUGAUGGUACUAUAAACCGACCUGCUUGCCGACAUGAUGCAAAGGAAUGGUUACGAGUGGCUACGUAGAGGUCACUGUCCAAAGGAACAUGCAGAACACUGUUUUUUCUAUACAUUGGCUACCCCUCUUUACUGAAGGACAACAUUUUUUGUACUUUUGGAAACGCUUCUCAGUGCUUGUGCACCUUUGGGUUAUUCUUGUAUAACAGAAGCACGAAAAGGACAAGGACAAGAAAGUACACAACACAAGCACUUACUCACAACUGGAAGCUUCCAGCUUAUGAGGUUCACUGCAUUAUGUCUACUGCCGCUGUUGCAGUGUGAAAUGCAGUCUUCUGGCGUGCACUCAUCAGAAUGUUCAUUUCAUUGAGUGGACUAUCCAGCAGUCCUUUUGGCUACAGAGACGGGACAUGUUCUUUUGAUAUAUGAUGCGUUGACAGAAGAGUCAGUUUAUAGUGCCAUUUUUUCAAAUAUUUUGACAUUUUGCUGUCAGCUUUUACUAGUAGAAAGAACAAAUUUCUCUAGAAUGUGAUAAUUUAAUUUGACACAUCUCGUAAUAUGUUCUGUCAGUGCUUGUUUGUUGAUGCUUUGCUGUAUUUUGUAAUCAUUUUGUUGCCGCAACUUUGUUGAACUGAACACUAAAGAGCCGUUUUGAAGUCAUUUGUUAUUGUGGAAUUCACAGUAGCAGUAAAUAGGAUGACAAAGAUACUGGGGAAAAAAAAAAGCGGAACGGGCAUAACAUUUAUGACUGCAUUGGUGGCUUAACUUUCCUACAGCGUAUAUGUGUAGGGGUAUUAUCUGUGCAUUGCAUAAGCAAGUGAAUUGUAUACGCAGAUGAAUUCUCUACUUCACCAUUAGUAAUGCAAACUUGCAGAAGUAAACUGACCAUUGACUGAUGUAUUGAAAUCGCUUCUAGGCAGCGAUUUCAAUAGAUAAUUUCUAUAUUGAAUUGCGGUUCGAAUAAAUCGCUUAUAUAGAAGCAGUUUUAAUAGAAGCAAACAUCCAAUAAUGCCGGCACAGCGACAAUGCAAUUAGAGCGAUAGCUUGUGACAAAGUAUGAAAACAAGCAACAGCAGCAGCCAGUAACAGUUAACUGAUGCUGUUGGUUGUAACUUACCCACUAGGCAGCACUUGAAUAAAUGUUCUUAUUAUUGUAAUUCAUAAUGGUGUUGGCAAGGUUCACUGCUUAUCACUUUGAUAAUGAGUCCAGGAUGUAGUGGCACACAAAUUGGACUGAGCCGGAGUCAGUAGCUUCCAAAAGCGACCUUUUUCACAGUUGUAUCAUUUUCUGGUGGAAACAGUGCUGUGGGUAACUCUCACUAUGUAAAACUGUACUGCAGAGACAAGGGGCGGACCAAGCUGCAUCAAGGCUCAUUCGAGUUCAGCGGAGCUGGCGACAGAUGGAAGUCAAGGCAUCCCUGCCAGGGAACAAGCCGCAGCUGGCGGAAGGGGAAGACUUUCGAAGAGGGAAAUUUUGCACUGUCCCUUCUGCCCGUACAUUUCAUACUACAUGGGCCCUCUCAAUGUACACCUACGCAAGCACAGCGGUGAAAAGCCCUUCAAGUGCAGCCUCUGCAAUGCGGCGUUUCCUUAUUCGGCGACCUACAAGCGUCACAUGUCCCUCCACACUGGUGAAAAGCCGUUCAAGUGUGACCUGUGUCCCUUUGUGACGGCACACAGCGAGUCCUUGGUCUACCACCGGACCACCCACGCGAGUCGCGAAGCUUUAACGUGCAAGAUUUGCUCUUCCGCCUGUGCAAAUAAGGGCUCGUUGGUGGCACACAUGCGUGCUCAUGCGAGGGACAAAGAACGCGCUACUGCUCAACCACCUAAUCCGACCCAGCCACCCAGUUACGAACAGCAGGAUUAAUCGAAAAAGAGUGAGCCCUCUUGCAGCACAUUGAGUCAGGCUCUUUUGCCACUUUGUACGUUAGAGCUGCAUUACGUACAUUGUUUGUUAGUGCAUUAACUUGCUUCUUUUUUAUGCUCUCGUUGUACGGCUUUCGAAUUAAAUCUGGUAAUCUUGCAAAGCCAUUGUUCAACAGUGCUGCCAGAAUUAUUUCACGUACAGCCUCUUGAUUGACAUCAAAUACAAACUUUAGUACUAGCUACGGAGCACUUUUAAAAAUGUAGCAGUACAAAACAUUAUAAUUUGAACUACUUUUUCCAACCCAUGAGCAUGCAAAAUAGACAAUGGCCAAGCGCAGUAGUGGGGGAGGGGGUUGCCUUGCAGUUGUUCAUACACACGUUUUUUAAUUUAUGGAGAUUACAUAAAAAGUAUGUGAGCAGGAGGGGCUGCGUCUAUCUGUUGAUCCAUUCAGUGAUUCAAAGGAAAUCAGAUAGGCGCUCUUUUCUGCUACGCUCUUGGGAUCUUAGCUCUACGCCUCAGCUUACAGGAGGCCGUACUGAUGCCGUUUUGGCCCCCAUUUCGUUGUGCAGCCAGCGCAGUUAAAGCCGUGCUUUAUCUCAGUGUGCUUAUCUCAGGAAGCACAGGGGAAGCCGUGAAUCGUACAACAAAAUGGUGCACGUUUGCGUCACAUGAACACACCCUAUACGGAGUAAUCCAGCAGACGACUCUUGAAUGGGAGCAGGAAGCCCUUUUCCCAUGUGCCCAUUCUUGUUACUUUCACAGGCACGCUCCCUGACAAAGGCACUCCCUGACCACCUUGAUCGAAACUUUAUGUACCUUUUCUGGAAAACUGCCCAACCAGUGCUGAAAUUUUCUAACGUUAUACUUCACUCCCUUCCAAAUAGUCUAGAUCUAAAACUUUGAUGAACUGUGUGAGUAAUAAUUAAAAAAAAGAUUAUUAAUUCGACAGUCUCUUUUACGGCAUGUGACAUGUGAGGACAAUAUUUUUUUUUCUUGUGAAAUAAAUGUAGGAACCAGUUUUUAGAACUAGGGGUUAAUGCCACUACCAUGUGAAAUUAGCACUCCAGAUUUCAUGGUCAUACUGCUUUUCGUUUCUGAGAAGAGGUACAUUUAAUUUUACACCCCAGAAUAAAAUUUGGUGUUUAAAUACAAAAUAGUAACAAAAGCUACAUGGUCGAAAUCGCACAAAGUGAAGGCCGAAAGCUCUCUUAUUGAACAUGCAAUAUUUCACAAUAAAAUAUGGAAAAGUUCCUGAGAUAUAAAGCUGAAACAAAGGUGACACAUUUAUCCUACCAUACCCCCUUAAGAAGGCAUAUUUCAUUUUUAGAUGCGAAGCAUCUUAUAGCGGAGUUCAAACCGGUGGUGGUGGUGGUGUGCGGCGUGACCACCCUUACCGUGCAUGCGCAUACCCUCUCCACACACCUCUCCACUCCCCCUCUCCCCUGCCCCUCUCCAAUCUUCCUCUGAAACGCAGGCUAGACAUGCCGAAAUUCUCUCCUGCGCAAGGCCGCGAUGAGCACCAGCGCAUGCGCGUCCCCUCCCCCUCUCUCUCAUCUCCUACGCUGCCGCCCUUUCGCGCGCUUGUCGACCGCGUUCCCCGCUCGCCCUGUGAGAAUUAGCAGCCGGGCUUGAGGGAAGACAAGACGCGUGUAGCGUUCCUCUUCGCAUUCUACGACGCAAGGUCGGUAGCAUGCCCAACGAACGCCAACGGAACGCGAUCGUGCAAGUGCUCAGGCUUCGCAUCGCCUCAUGGUCCCCUUUAGCGGGAAAUGGUGUAAUUUUUGUGUCCCGGCACCGUGCGAUGUCAUUAGCGCUUCUAUUCACGUCCUUAAUCUGGAGCUUAUAGUGCCUUUGCGAUCCAGAUAUUCAGUUUUGUUAAAUUGUAUUUUUAAUUUAUACCCAGAUGAGGACACUUUUUCUCCUUCAUUCCCCAAUCUGAUUUGUUCACGACAGCGUAUGACAUGGGAAAGCAUCAUUUCAGCCCCAUCAUACUUGAACUUUUGCGCAAAUGUAAACCGGGACAUGUCAUAGGUUACAAUAUUGCUGAUGUAGUUUAAAAAGCAACAGAAUUCUUGUUUCACUAAUGGUUGGAUUGUUUAGCUAUCUAAGCAGGUUAGCUUACGCACAUAUAUGCACACGGGCAAAGACAACACGCUUGCUUAGUGCAGUAACAUUAUAUACCGGCUCUCCCAGCUAACUUAGACCAAGAUUUAGAAAGAAACCGUGAGCUCUAGGGUAGUUCUACCUGCUGUAUAUUAGUGGUAGUGGACGUAUACAUACACCCUGUAUUUUUUAAUGACUAAGUGCUAAUGAAUUAACUUUAAUUAGCCAACUUUUUUGCUCUUGCUAGAAUUGGGGUAAAAUAUUAACUUUAUGUUGUACCACACCUCAAAUAACCCCAGAAUCAAGCAUAUAUUUUUUUGCUGAAAUCUGCCUAGUUUUUCUUUCCGAGAAAAAACAAGCGCGAAACGUGCAAAUACGAAAUAGGUGCACGCUUGCGCGCCACUAUUCGAACGCUUCCAAGCUUUCUUUAGUUGACACAUGGCUGCGUUCAUUCAUCACUGCAUUGUACAGGGCUUCACGCUCGAUGAUGGACACGUUAGCAGCGUGUUUUGACGCGCGGCCAUCAAACAGCGUGAAGCCCGGUACAAUGAACGAACACAGCCGUGUAUCAAUCAAAGAACUUAGAAGCGCUUGCGUAGCGGCGCAUGAGUGCGCGUCUAUUUCAUAUUUGCUGUGUUUCGCGCGCUUUUGCUUUUUCUCGGAAAAAACAAACAGGCAGAUUUCAGCAAAAAAUAAAUAAAUAAAUAGAUGCUUGAUUUUGGGGUUAUUUGAUGCGAGGUACAACAUCAGGUUAAUAUUUUGCUGAUUCGAGCAAGAAUAAGACAGUUGCCUAAUUAACGUUAACUAAUUAAUUAGCGCUUAGUCAUGAAAAAAAGACAGGUUAUAUGUACACACGACUACCACUAAUAUGCAACAGGUAGAACUUUCCUAGAGCGCAUGGUUUUUAAAAAAAUCUUGGUCCAAGUUAGCUGGGACAGCCGGUAUAUAUAUUGGUCCAAGCAAACGCGUUGCCUUUGCCUGUGGUGGGGGCCUCCAAUAUUCAAGAAACUGUUGCCUGCAAACUGUUGCCUGCAACGCUCCGAGCCCUGUUCAACAUCUUAAAAAAAAAAAGAAAAAAAAACACCUAGACUAUUGUACCCUAACUCCGGCACGGUUACCUGUUGUGUCAAACUUCUUCAGAAUCGUAGUGCUUGUCUGACUUCAUAUCGAGUCAUUCCUUUUAUUACACUGUUUUUGAAGUCUGCUUGAGACCGUUUCAGCUUAAUUGCUAUGCUCUACUCUGUGCAUACUGCUGCUGUUAGUGGAGGUAACGUUUAUUUGUCAUUUGCAAGGCUAAUAAUACACAGUGUUGUUCAAGUACAACUGAUGCAUUGUGAAUAAUUGUUAUAGUGAUCACAGAAAGCUUCACACUUUGAUAACGCCUUGUUCAAGCUCUUGUUUCCUAUUCAGGAAUAGUGACGUGGGCUUACGUCUAAGUAUCUCUCAGCUUAACUUUCAGCUGGUAUAUUUUAAAAUUUCUGAAAUAGCAAACUUUUAUAAAUUACACAAGAUGUCUGCAACUUUUUUCCUGCCAUUUUGUUGGUGUGAUUACUGCAAGUGCAAUUCUUGUAUGCCCCUGUAUUUUUGCAAGAAGUGAUAAUCUGUGUGUAAAUGCUGUUUUAUUGGGGCCAAAUAAAGCUGUGUAAUUAGCACAGAAUGGGCAUUGUUUGCAGUGAGUCGUCUAACGCAGGGCAGGUAAAUGUUCACUUGCCUGCUGUGCAACAUGCUAUAAUCGGCAUUGUUUUUACCAAAGUAUAUUGUUUGUUGUUUUGAUAGCAUCAAGUGCUGUUCAGCCAAAGGCGAGUCACCCUUAUGGUCGAAAGAAAUACAGUUUGGGGAACAUGAAUGAAUCUGGAGUUGAGACUUGUGAAACUAAAAAAUUGGUGGCAGAAAGCUAGGGAACGCACGGAAUGUUGGAGGCUCCUGCCUCGGAAAUCCAUUGCUUGACUAUACUCUUGAUAAGUUCAAGUCGUAAUGGUGCUAUGACAAGGAAAUUGUUCAGUGGGGAAACAACUUGCUGCCGAUGUUAAUGGCUCUGGAUAUAUUGGUGGAUUUAGGAGCA